Molecule: ribosomal RNA, 984 nt
Filed under: Acidobacteriota bacterium
Lineage: Bacteria; Pseudomonadati; Acidobacteriota
Description: Acidobacteria bacterium partial 23S ribosomal RNA
Rfam family: Bacterial large subunit ribosomal RNA
Source: RNAcentral
GGUCCUAAGGUAGCGAAAUUCCUUGUCGGGUAAGUUCCGACCUGCACGAAUGGCGCAACGAUCUGGGCGCUGUCUCGACGAGGGGCACUGCGAAAUUGUGGUACCGGUGAAGACGCCGGUUGCCCGUGGUAAGACGGAAAGACCCCGUGCACCUUUACUACAGCUUAGUAGUGAAUGCUGGUGUGUUAUGCGCAGGAUAGGUGGGAGACUUUGAACCCGGCCUCUCGGGGUCGGGGGAGUCGUCGGUGAGAUACCACCCUUAGCAUUUCGGUGUUCUAACCUCGGCCUGUGAAUCCAGGCCAGGGACAUUGCUUGGUGGGUAGUUUGACUGGGGCGGUCGCCUCCCAAACUGUAACGGAGGCGCGCGAAGGUUCGCUCAGGCUGUUUGGAAAUCAGCCGUAGAGUGCAAAGGCAGAAGCGAGCUUGACUGCGAGACAGACACGUCGAGCAGAUGGGAAACCAGGCCUUAGUGAUCCGGUGGCUCCGCAUGGAAGGGCCAUCGCUCAACGGAUAAAAGGUACGCCGGGGAUAACAGGCUUAUCUUGGCCAAGAGUUCAUAUCGACGCCAAGGUUUGGCACCUCGAUGUCGGCUCAUCGCAUCCUGGAGCUGUAGCAGGUUCCAAGGGUUCGGCUGUUCGCCGAUUAAAGCGGUACGUGAGCUGGGUUUAGAACGUCGCGAGACAGUUCGGUCCCUAUCUACCAUGGGCGCAGGAGAUUUGAGGGGGGCUGUCCCUAGUACGAGAGGACCGGGAUGGACGAACCUCUAGUGUACCAGUUGUCGCGCCAGCGGCAGUGCUGGGUAGCUACGUUCGGAUGGGAGAAACGCUGAAAGCAUCUAAGCGUGAAACCCUCCCCAAGAUGAGAUCUCCCUGGAUCUUCGGAUCCCUGAAGGCUCCUGGAAGACUACCAGGUAUAUAGGCCAGGUGUGUAAGGCUUGCGAGAGCUUGAGCUUACUGGUACUAAUCAGCCGUGAGGCUUGACCUU